Molecule: ribosomal RNA, 371 nt
Filed under: uncultured organism
Description: bacterial SSU rRNA
Rfam family: Bacterial small subunit ribosomal RNA
Source: RNAcentral
CGAGGGGGCUAGUGUUGUUCGGAAUCGACUGGGCGUAAAGGGAGCGUAGGCGGAGCCUAAGUUCGGGUGUUUAAUUCCGGGGCCCAACCCCGGGCGUGCACUCAAAACUGGGUUUCUUGAAUAGGGGAGAGGUCGAUGGAAUUGGAGGUGUAGCGGUGGAAUGCGUAGAGAUCUCCAAGAACACCGGUUGCGAAGGCGGUCGACUGGACCCAUAUUGACGCUGAGGCUCGAAAGCGUGGGGAGCAAACAGGAUUAGAUACCCUGGUAGUCCACGCCAUAAACGAUGAAGACUAGGUUUUAGGCCCGUCAACGGUCUAGAGCCGUAGCUAACGCGUUAAGUCUUCCGCCUGGGGAGUACGCCCGCAAGGGUG